UGGGUAACCAAUCGUUUUGUCAAAAUCGUACUGCAAAGAGAGGCACCGCUCAGCGCUCACGUCCUGGCGCUAGGGUUUCCUCGCGGCGGCCCAGGUUCUCACAUCGAUGGGAUUGCGCCCGGAAGCCUGAAUCCAUUCUCCGAUGGAUUAUGUGCUGAUAAGAGAGAUGUAGCGGAGGAUGGGGUGUAUUUGCUGGACUCAAGCCGAUCUCACAGCCGCCGAGUAAGUGCAGGCUGCCGCGGAUUGGAGGUAAAAUGAUUUCUGCUCCAUUCAUCAAGUGUUAAAUUCAUCACUGAACCAGGAUGAUUUGAGUGGUCUUUUCGGUUGCUUGGAAGGAAUCUCAGUCAUCUAACCACAAGAUUUGAAAUUUCAGAGUAUAUCUGUCCAGAAGAAUGAUGCUUACAAAUUUAGCUUUUAGUGUUUCUGGAAUGCCAUUCUAUUUCUGUAAGAUACAAUACCAGCAGUUUGUCCUUAGUUCAGCAAGUUUCUGAGACUGAUAAUCUCCAAGAGAUCUUUCACAGAGUUCUAAUUCAAGGAGAGGUGGCACACCCCAUAUUUAAGAAGAUUUGGAAAUCAGCAGUGAUUCAGCGAUACCAAAUUUUACUGUUGGUUUCUGAUCCAAGAUAGGCUCAGCACAAGAAGUCUGCUUCUCAGGAAAUCAUUUCA
Triticum aestivum (bread wheat) is the source of this 666-nucleotide long non-coding RNA. RefSeq lists it as uncharacterized. NCBI's taxonomy places the organism in Eukaryota, Viridiplantae, Streptophyta, Magnoliopsida, Poales, Poaceae. The record is from RefSeq and is a predicted model, not a curated record. The transcript has 5 exons.